GAUGAACGCUAGCUACAGGCUUAACACAUGCAAGUCGAGGGGUAACAAGAGGAAAGCUUGCUUUUCUUGUUGACGACCGGCGCACGGGUGAGUAACGCGUAUCCAAUCUGCCUAUAACUAGGGAAUAACCUUGCGAAAGUAAGACUAAUACCCUAUGAUUUCCUUUGAUGACAUCAGAUUAGGAAUAAAGAUUUAUCGGUUAUAGAUGGGGAUGCGUCUGAUUAGCUUGUUGGCGGGGUAACGGCCCACCAAGGCAACGAUCAGUAGGGGUUCUGAGAGGAAGGUCCCCCACAUUGGAACUGAGACACGGUCCAAACUCCUACGGGAGGCAGCAGUGAGGAAUAUUGGUCAAUGGGCGGAAGCCUGAACCAGCCAAGUAGCGUGCAGGAUGACGGCCCUAUGGGUUGUAAACUGCUUUUAUACAGGAAUAAAGUUAGCCACGUGUGGUUAUUCGUAGGUACUGUAUGAAUAAGGACCGGCUAAUUCCGUGCCAGCAGCCGCAGUAA
RNAcentral lists this ribosomal RNA (506 nucleotides) under uncultured bacterium. RNAcentral's name for it is "partial 16S ribosomal RNA". It matches the Rfam family "Bacterial small subunit ribosomal RNA", at positions 28 to 523 of the family's 1533-position model. The record is from RNAcentral.